This 460-nucleotide ribosomal RNA is filed under the name uncultured bacterium. Its description in RNAcentral is "partial 16S ribosomal RNA". It matches the Rfam family "Bacterial small subunit ribosomal RNA", at positions 338 to 795 of the family's 1533-position model. The record is from RNAcentral.
CCUACGGGGUGCAGCAGUGAGGAAUAUUGGUCAAUGGGCGAGAGCCUGAACCAGCCAAGUCGCGUGAGGGAAGACGGUCCUAUGGAUUGUAAACCUCUUUUGCCGGGGAGCAAAAAGCGGUACGUGUACCGCAUCGAGAGUACCCGGAGAAAAAGCAUCGGCUAACUCCGUGCCAGCAGCCGCGGUAAUACGGAGGAUGCGAGCGUUAUCCGGAUUUACGGGGGGUAAAGGGCGUGUAGGCGGGCAUGCAAGCCAGAAGUGAAAUCUGGGGGCUUAACCCCCAAACUGCUUUUGAAACUGCGUGUCUUGAGUGAUGGAGAGGCAGGCGGAAUUCCCAGUGUAGCGGUGAAAUGCGUAGAUAUUGGGAGGAACACCAGUGGCGAAGGCGGCCUGCUGGACAUUAACUGACGCUGAGGCGCGAAAGCGUGGGGAGCAAACAGGAUUAGAUACCCCAGUAGUC